AACGAACGCUGGCGGCAUGCCUAACACAUGCAAGUCGAACGAGACCUUCGGGUCUAGUGGCGCACGGGUGCGUAACGCGUGGGAACCUGCCCUUAGGUUCGGAAUAACUCCCCGAAAGGGGUGCUAAUACCGGAUAAUUUCUUCGGACCAAAGAUUUAUCGCCUUUGGAUGGGCCCGCGUUGGAUUAGCUAGUUGGUAGGGUAAAAGCCUACCAAGGCGACGAUCCAUAGCUGGUCUGAGAGGAUGAUCAGCCACACUGGGACUGGGACACGGCCCAGACUCCUCCGGGAGGCAGCAGUGGGGAAUAUUGGACAAUGGGCGAAAGCCUGAUCCAGCAAUGCCGCGUGAGUGAUGAAGGCCUUAGGGUUGUAAAGCUCUUUUACCCGGGAUGAUAAUGACAGUACCGGGAGAAUAAGCUCCGGCUAACUCCGUG
Molecule: ribosomal RNA, 433 nt
Filed under: uncultured bacterium
Lineage: Bacteria
Description: partial 16S ribosomal RNA
Rfam family: Bacterial small subunit ribosomal RNA
Source: RNAcentral